Molecule: ribosomal RNA, 510 nt
Filed under: Triticum aestivum (bread wheat)
Lineage: Eukaryota; Viridiplantae; Streptophyta; Magnoliopsida; Poales; Poaceae
Description: partial small subunit ribosomal RNA
Source: RNAcentral
AUGAAGCUUGCCCGGACCACGCCGAUUUCAUUUCCUCAGAGCCCACAGCUGGCGUCAGGGAUGCAGAGCACUCCCGCAAGCGGCGGCGCCUUGAGGAUGCAGCGCUGGAUGGAGACGAGAUUGACUCAUACAAUGAUGCUAGUGAGGUUCGUUGCCAAUUCAAACGAUAUGCCUCCUGAAGAUAUCAGCGAUGCAACCGUCAGAAAGGAGGAAGAUGCAGAGGGCAUGUUCGUAUCCAACUCAAAUGGCUCCAGUUGGACUCGAAGAACUAGGAUCGGUAAGGCAGCAUAUGAGAGGGAAAUUAAUCCAAGCAGGUUCCUGCUCUCGAGGUUUCAAUACAUGCUUAUACUGAGAAAAAAAACUGGUGAUGAUCCAACUUGGAUUCCAGGAGGUUCCUCGGAAACAUGUCUUGAAACGUUGGACGAGGGAAGCAAGGUAUAUUUUGCCAGCAGAAUUUUUGCGCUGCUAGAAGGAUCAAGGUCCUCUGAAGUACUCUUCACGGAGACAUAA